UUGAACAUCCAGUCCCACCUUGGAAAUUACUGACCUCAUCUGAUUUUGGAAGCUAAGCAGAGGUGGGUCUGGUUAGUACUUUGGAUGGGAUGGGAGACCGUUUGGAGGGAAUGCCAGGUGCUGUAAC
RNAcentral lists this ribosomal RNA (127 nucleotides) under Periophthalmus magnuspinnatus. Lineage: Eukaryota; Metazoa; Chordata; Actinopteri; Gobiiformes; Gobiidae. The record is from RNAcentral.